AGCUUGCUUUUCUUAGCUUAGUGGCGAACGGGUGAGUAACGCGUGAGUAACCUGCCUUUCAGAGGGGGACAACAGUUGGAAACGACUGCUAAUACCGCAUAAUGUGUUCGGAAGGCAUCUUCUGGAUACCAAAGGAGAAAUCCGCUGAUGGAUGGGCUCACGUCUGAUUAGCUAGUUGGUGAGGUAACGGCUCACCAAGGCUGCGAUCAGUAGCCGGACUGAGAGGUUGAACGGCCACAUUGGGACUGAGAUACGGCCCAGACUCC
Molecule: ribosomal RNA, 266 nt
Filed under: uncultured Oscillospiraceae bacterium
Lineage: Bacteria; Bacillati; Bacillota; Clostridia; Eubacteriales; Oscillospiraceae
Description: partial 16S ribosomal RNA
Rfam family: Bacterial small subunit ribosomal RNA
Source: RNAcentral